GCCGAUGUGGCUCAGAGGUAGAGCAGCUGUUUCGUAAACAGCAGGUCAGCGGUUCGAAUCCGCUCAUCGGCU
Molecule: transfer RNA, 72 nt
Filed under: Armatimonadota bacterium
Lineage: Bacteria; Bacillati; Armatimonadota
Description: Armatimonadetes bacterium (glacier metagenome) tRNA-Thr
Rfam family: tRNA
About the family: Transfer RNA (tRNA) molecules are approximately 80 nucleotides in length. Their secondary structure includes four short double-helical elements and three loops (D, anti-codon, and T loops).
Source: RNAcentral